This 466-nucleotide ribosomal RNA is filed under the name uncultured bacterium. RNAcentral describes it as "partial 16S ribosomal RNA". It matches the Rfam family "Bacterial small subunit ribosomal RNA", at positions 28 to 507 of the family's 1533-position model. The record is from RNAcentral.
GAUGAACGCUGGCGGCGUGCUUAACACAUGCAAGUCGAACGAUGAGGCCCAGCUUGCUGGGUGGAUUAGUGGCGAACGGGUGAGUAACACGUGAGUAACCUGCCCUUAACUCUGGGAUAAGCCUGGGAAACUGGGUCUAAUACCGGAUAGGAGCGUCCACCGCAUGGUGGGUGUUGGAAAGAUUUAUCGGUUUUGGAUGGACUCGCGGCCUAUCAGCUUGUUGGUGAGGUAAUGGCUCACCAAGGCGACGACGGGUAGCCGGCCUGAGAGGGUGACCGGCCACACUGGGACUGAGACACGGCCCAGACUCCUACGGGAGGCAGCAGUGGGGAAUAUUGCACAAUGGGCGAAAGCCUGAUGCAGCGACGCCGCGUGAGGGAUGACGGCCUUCGGGUUGUAAACCUCUUUCAGUAGGGAAGAAGCGAAAGUGACGGUACCUGCAGAAGAAGCACCGGCUAACUACGUG